GGGACACGUGGUAUCCUGUCUGAAUAUGGGGGGACCAUCCUCCAAGGCUAAAUACUCCUGACUGACCGAUAGUGAACCAGUACCGUGAGGGAAAGGCGAAAAGAACCCCGGCGAGGGGAGUGAAACAGAACCUGAAACCGUGUACGUACAAGCAGUGGGAGCACAGGUUUACCUGUGUGACUGCGUACCUUUUGUAUAAUGGGUCAGCGACUUAUAUUCUGUAGCAAGGUUAACCGCAUAGGGGAGCCGAAGGGAAACCGAGUCUUAAUUGGGCGUUAAGUUGCAGGGUAUAGACCCGAAACCCGGUGAUCUAGCCAUGGGCAGGUUGAAGGUUGGGUAACACUAACUGGAGGACCGAACCGACUAAUGUUGAAAAAUUAGCGGAUGACCUGUGGCUGGGGGUGAAAGGCCAAUCAAACCGGGAGAUAGCUGGUUCUCCCCGAAAGCUAUUUAGGUAGCGCCUCGUGAACUCAUCUCCGGGGGUAGAGCACUGUUUCGGCUAGGGGGCCAUCCCGGCUUACCAACCCGAUGCAAACUGCGAAUACCGGAGAAUGUUAUCACGGGAGACACACGGCGGGUGCUAACGUCCGUCGUGAAGAGGGAAACAACCCAGACCGCCAGCUAAGGUCCCAAAGUCAUGGUUAAGUGGGAAACGAUGUGGGAAGGCCCAGACAGCCAGGAUGUUGGCUUAGAAGCAGCCAUCAUUUAAAGAAAGCGUAAUAGCUCACUGGUCGAGUCGGCCUGCGCGGAAGAUGUAACGGGGCUAAACCAU
RNAcentral lists this ribosomal RNA (772 nucleotides) under Salmonella enterica subsp. salamae. Its description in RNAcentral is "partial 23S ribosomal RNA". It matches the Rfam family "Bacterial large subunit ribosomal RNA", at positions 419 to 1190 of the family's 2925-position model. The record is from RNAcentral. Lineage: Bacteria; Pseudomonadati; Pseudomonadota; Gammaproteobacteria; Enterobacterales; Enterobacteriaceae.